AACGAACGCUGGCGGCAUGCCUAACACAUGCAAGUCGAACGAGAUCUUCGGGUCUAGUGGCGCACGGGUGCGUAACGCGUGGGAAUCUGCCCUUUGGUUCGGAAUAACAGUUGGAAACGACUGCUAAUACCGGAUGAUGACGAAAGUCCAAAGAUUUAUCGCCAGAGGAUGAGCCCGCGUAGGAUUAGCUAGUUGGUGUGGUAAAGGCGCACCAAGGCGACGAUCCUUAGCUGGUCUGAGAGGAUGAUCAGCCACACUGGGACUGAGACACGGCCCAGACUCCUACGGGAGGCAGCAGUGGGGGAAAUUGGACAAUGGGCGAAAGCCUGAGCCAGCAAUGCCGCGUGAGUGAUGAAGGCCUUAGGGUUGUAAAGCUCUUUUACCCGUGAAGAUAAUGACAUUACCGGGAGAAUAAGCUCCGGCUAACUCCGUGCCAGCCGCCGCCGUAA
RNAcentral lists this ribosomal RNA (449 nucleotides) under uncultured bacterium. Its description in RNAcentral is "partial 16S ribosomal RNA". It matches the Rfam family "Bacterial small subunit ribosomal RNA", at positions 29 to 523 of the family's 1533-position model. The record is from RNAcentral.